GUGAAUACAAACGCUAGGGUGUCUCUGCUUCGGCAAGCCCCCUUGCACCCUUCACAUCCAUAACACCUGUGCACUGUAAGAUGACUCUCUGGCUCUUGGGCCUCUGGGUUAUCUGACCUUUUUACAAACAUUAAUACGUAACAAAUGUAGUCUUAUUAUAACAAAAUA
This 168-nucleotide unclassified non-coding RNA is filed under the name uncultured Tremellales. RNAcentral's name for it is "sequence contains ITS1". Lineage: Eukaryota; Fungi; Basidiomycota; Tremellomycetes; Tremellales. The record is from RNAcentral.